CCAAUAGCGUAUAUUAAGGUUGCUGCGGUUAAAAAGCUCGUAGUUGAAUUUCGGGAUUGAUGCAUCAGUCGUGCCUUAAGGGGUAUGAACUGGUGUGGUCAAUUUCUUACCUUCUGGUGAAUUGUGAUGUCCUCCUUAAUUGGGUGUUUCAAUGAACUAGGACUUUUUACUUUGAAAAAAUUAGAGUGUUUAAAGCAGGCAUUAUUUGCUUGAAUACAUUAGCAUGGAAUAAUAAAAUAGGACAAUGAUUCUAUUUUGUUGGUUUCUAGGAUCACUGUAAUGAUUAAUAGGGAUAGUUGGGGGCAUUAGUAUUCAAUUGUCAGAGGUGAAAUUCUUGGAUCAAUUGAAGACUAACUACUGCGAAAGCAUUUGCCAAGGAUAUUUUCAUUAAUCAAGAACGAAAGUUAGGGGAUCGAAGACGAUUAGGUACGUCGUAGUCUUAACCAUAAACUAUGCCGACUAGGAAUCAGACAACGUUAAAUUUUUAAUGACUUGUUUGGCACCUUACG
RNAcentral lists this ribosomal RNA (509 nucleotides) under uncultured Glomeromycotina. RNAcentral's name for it is "partial small subunit ribosomal RNA". It matches the Rfam family "Eukaryotic small subunit ribosomal RNA", at positions 591 to 1092 of the family's 1831-position model. The record is from RNAcentral. Lineage: Eukaryota; Fungi; Glomeromycota.